Non-coding RNA from Paramisgurnus dabryanus, 994 nucleotides. Lineage: Eukaryota; Metazoa; Chordata; Actinopteri; Cypriniformes; Cobitidae. The record is from RefSeq and is a predicted model, not a curated record.
GUAGUAACCACGGGUUUUCGGUGUAUUUAUUACUAGCAAAAUGUUUUUUACUACAGUAAACAUGGUUUAACUAUAUUUUUCUGCAAAUGAAGUGCUUUUCCACCAUAAAAUAUAGUUCUCAUUUUUUAUCUGCUUAAAAAUCACCACAUUUUUUUUGUGCCACCAUACUUUUCUUGUGUAACUACUCAUGUAACAGUCUUUAAAUAGGGAAAACAUGGAAAUGUUUGGUGACAUCCAACUGUUUGGAUCUUAAGGAAUGAAUGGGGCUAGGCUAAAUGUUAACACAUUCAUGCUGUACAAAGAUUAAGUGCACUCAUUGAAAAAGAUAGGUAUGUAGGAAUAUAUCUAAGUUAAUGUAAGAACAUUGUAAAAUAUUGGAAAACAAUUGUGUUUUCCUUUAAGAGCCAACCCCUCUCUCUAUCUCUCUCAUUUUCUAUCUGUCCAAUCUUUUGCAUCCUCUUUGUAUAGUUUUACACAUUUCUCCAGUCUAUAUCUUUAUCUGUCUUUCAGUCUUAUUCUAUUUCUUAAUCUUUCCUCCGUCUUUUAGUUAUCUGUCAUCUUUGUCAGUCUGUUUGGCCUUUGUCUGUUUGUUAUAAUGCCAGGUGGGUCUACAAAAAUGAUUUGCGCCUCAAGAAGAAGCUUCAGAAGUUUGAUGAGAAGCGAGAAGGAAUGGGUUGUAAGGACAACCACAACAUUGCAUCCAUCAAUGAUAAAGCCGUUGUCUUGGUUGGACCCAGGAUUCCAGUGGCAAUGAUGAUCAGCUGGUUACACUGCACCUCACACCCUGUGACCCAUUGGAGAAUGCAAACAACCGGGAGAAGGUGUCAUCUGUGUUCUCAGUUUACUCUAUGUUGGUAUAUUCGGACUGUGUGACAUUCAGCAACACAAUGAUACAAAACCACCAGCAGAUCCAGAGCAGAAGUCUUGUAUGUCAGAAAGUGAGGUGAAGCUUUUUGACAAAUACAACAAAGUUAAAGACUGUCUGUACUCUUGU